This 454-nucleotide ribosomal RNA is filed under the name uncultured bacterium. RNAcentral's name for it is "partial 16S ribosomal RNA". It matches the Rfam family "Bacterial small subunit ribosomal RNA", at positions 355 to 801 of the family's 1533-position model. The record is from RNAcentral.
UAGGGAAUCUUCGGCAAUGGACGAAAGUCUGGCCGAGCAACGCCGCGUGAGUGAAGAAGGUUUUCGGAUCGUAAAACUCUGUUGGUAGAGAAGAACGUUGGUGAGAGUGGAAAGCUCAUCAAGUGACGGUAACUACCCAGAAAGGGACGGCUAACUACGUGCCAGCAGCCGCGGUAAUACGUAGGUCCCGAGCGUUGUCCGGAUUUAUUGGGCGUAAAGCGAGCGCAGGUGGUUUAUUAAGUCUGGUGUAAAAGGCAGUGGCUCAACCAUUGUAUGCAUUGGAAACUGGUAGACUUGAGUGCAGGAGAGGAGAGUGGAAUUCCAUGUGUAGCGGUGAAAUGCGUAGAUAUAUGGAGGAACACCGGUGGCGAAAGCGGCUCUCUGGCCUGUAACUGACACUGAGGCUCGAAAGCGUGGGGAGCAAACAGGAUUAGAUACCCUGGUAGUCCACGCC